Molecule: ribosomal RNA, 310 nt
Filed under: uncultured bacterium
Lineage: Bacteria
Description: bacterial SSU rRNA
Rfam family: Bacterial small subunit ribosomal RNA
Source: RNAcentral
GAUGAACGCUGGCGGCGUGCUUAACACAUGCAAGUCGAACGGGCGGAGGGAGCUUGCUCCCGAAGCUAGUGGCGGACGGGUGAGUAACGCGUGGGUAACCUGCCUCAUACAGGGGGGAUAACAGUGAGAAAUCACUGCUAAUACCGCAUAUGCGCACAGUACCGCAUGGUACAGUGUGGAAAACUCCGGUGGUAUGAGAUGGACCCGCGUUGGAUUAGCUAGUUGGUGAGGUAGAGGCUCACCAAGGCGGACGAUCCAUAGCCGGCCUGAGAGGGGUGGACGGCCACAUUGGGACUGAGACACGGCCCAG